Molecule: unclassified non-coding RNA, 354 nt
Filed under: soil metagenome
Description: partial contains 5.8S ribosomal RNA, internal transcribed spacer 2, and large subunit ribosomal RNA
Rfam family: 5.8S ribosomal RNA (bases 1-120)
Source: RNAcentral
GAUGAAGAACGUAGCGAAAUGCGACAAGUAAUGUGAAUUGCAGAAUUCCGUGAAUCAUCGAAUCUUUGAACGCACAUUGCGCCCUCUGGUAUUCUGGAGGGCAUGCCUGUCCGAGCGUCAUUUCUGCCCUCCAGCCCGGCUGGGUGUUGGGCGCUGUCCCCCCGGGGACACGCCCCAAAGGCAGUGGCGGCGCCGCGUCGGGUCCUCGAGCGUAUGGGGCUUUGUCACCCGCUCGGGACGGACUCGUCGGCGCUGGUCUUCCUCCAGGCGACCCUUCGGGGCUCGUCUUCCUUCGGUUGACCUCGGAUCAGGUAGGGUUACCCGCUGAACUUAAGCAUAUCAAUAAGCGGAGGA